This 172-nucleotide ribosomal RNA is filed under the name Codonorchis lessonii. Its description in RNAcentral is "5.8S ribosomal RNA". It matches the Rfam family "5.8S ribosomal RNA". From Rfam's summary of the family: 5.8S ribosomal RNA (5.8S rRNA) is a component of the large subunit of the eukaryotic ribosome. It is transcribed by RNA polymerase I as part of the 45S precursor that also contains 18S and 28S rRNA. The record is from RNAcentral. Lineage: Eukaryota; Viridiplantae; Streptophyta; Magnoliopsida; Asparagales; Orchidaceae.
GAUGAUUCUCGGUAAUGGAUAUCUUGGUUCUCGCAUCGAUGAAGAGCACAGUGAAAUGCGAUACGUGGUGCGAAUUGCAGAAUCCCUUGAACCAUCAAAUUUUUGAACGCAAGUUGCGUCGGAGGCCUGCUGACCGAGGGCACGUCCGCCUGGGCGUCUAGCACCGCCUCGC